GGCCAGACUCCUACGGGAGGCAGCAGUGGGGAAUAUUGCACAAUGGGGGGAAACCCUGAUGCAGCGACGCCGCGUGAGCGAUGAAGUAUUUCGGUAUGUAAAUCUCUAUCAGCAGGGAAGAAAAUGACGGUACCUGACUAAGAAGCCCCGGCUAACUACGUGCCAGCAGCCGCGGUAAUACGUAGGGGGCAAGCGUUAUCCGGAUUUACUGGGUGUAAAGGGAGCGUAGACGGUCCUGCAAGCCAGAUGUGAAAGCCCGGGGCUCAACCCCGGGACUGCAUUUGGAACUGUAAGGCUAGAGUGUCGGAGAGGCAGGCGGAAUUCCUAGUGUAGCGGUGAAAUGCGUAGAUAUCAGGAGGAACACCGGCGGCGAAGGCGGCCUGCUGGACCGCGACUGACGUUGAGGCUCGAAAGCGUGGGGAGCGAACAGGAUUAGAUACCCCUGUAG
RNAcentral lists this ribosomal RNA (448 nucleotides) under uncultured bacterium. RNAcentral's name for it is "bacterial SSU rRNA". It matches the Rfam family "Bacterial small subunit ribosomal RNA", at positions 329 to 793 of the family's 1533-position model. The record is from RNAcentral.